This is a long non-coding RNA of Ictalurus punctatus (channel catfish), 3461 nucleotides long. NCBI's taxonomy places the organism in Eukaryota, Metazoa, Chordata, Actinopteri, Siluriformes, Ictaluridae. The record is from Ensembl.
GUUUUACAGAAGAAUUCUGGCUCCUGAUUGGUCGUCGGGUGGCGAUUAGUUCUCUAGAACAGCGGCUCUGACUGUAGCGCAGGUUUACAUUCACGCGCUCGUUCUCAUACCUUACCGUUACUACGGUAACAGUUCGUUCACCGGGACGUCAUAAAAAAAAGUAUGACGUCGUUCCAUAAACAAAAAAAAUUGCCAUCAGUGCCAAAUUGCUGCUGCAUCUCACUCUCUCUCACUCUCACUCUCACACACACACACACACACACACACACACACACACACACACACAGAGUGUAUUACUUAUUUAUAUCACUAUACGAUGCGACAGAUUUCCCCUUUUCCGUGCGCUGGUUCCUCUUCAGUACAGUUUCGGGAGGUUUUUAUGUCUCGCUGCAGUCACAUGUCUGUUAUCGGACCGCGGCCGAGCUUACUGCGCGAUUCAUUCACUUUAAAUCAACAAUAAAUACUCGUUCAAUCACGGUCUAAUCAACGUUAUGGAGAGAGACGUGCGAACGUGGGCUGAUGAACGGCGUCGCUAUAGACCUCAUGAUUCACGAGACACCAACGAGACCUGGUGGAUAAAACCACAGAAUAAAACGUCUAGCUUGUUACAUGAGAACUGAUAUUAAAUCUCUUCUCACCUGCUACUCGUUCCUCCUUUGGUUCCUCUCCAUCUUCUUGCACCAUGUGACGUUUCUCCUCUUCCAGAGUUCCAAUUUUACAAACGCCAACAUUGUCCAAAGGUGGCACCUCCUGGAUCAAACCACUAUCCACUUCCACAGCGUCCAUCCCUAAGCCGGUACCACUAUCCAGAUCCAUAACGGAGCUCAGAUCCAUAGGCUGGUCAGAGAUGGAAACGCUCUCCAAAGCCAAAUCUGAAUCGUUACCAUAAACGGGACGGUCCAGAAUCGCAGUCUGGCUCUGAAAUGGAGCUUCAGGAAAACUUGUAUCCAUCUUCGAGUUCAUGAACUCUGGUGGAGGCUUCAGAGAUGUCCAGAGGUCUUCCUCACACAUCGUCUCCUCAAGCUUGGUGUGAUACGGUGUUUCUCUGAUGCUCUCCUCAAAAGCUGUGAUCUCAGGUUGCUGGUCAAAAACUGUUUCUUUAAUCAUCGCCUCAUGACGUGGGCCUUGAAUGCUCUUCUCCGAGGUUGUGACCUCAAGUUUGGGAUCUUGAGAUGUUCCAUUUUUGCUCUUCUUAGAGGUUGUAACCUCAGGUUGUUGGUCUAGAACAUUUUCCUCAGAGCUGUUAACCUCAGGAACUUCAAAAGACAUUUCUCUGAUCGUCUCCUCAGAAGGCGUGAUGAGAUCAUGAUGGAGGUCAAGACAUGUUCUACUAAUGAUCUCUUCGAAGUUCAUGGCCUCAAGAUGUUCUUGGCCCACUUCAAGAUGUGGGCCAAGAGAUUCCACAAGUGUCUCUGUAGAGGUCGUGAGCUCAGUCUGUGGGUCUUCAGAUGUCUUGUUGAUACCCUCCUCAAAGGUUAUGACCUCAGAAUGAGGGUCAGUGAUGUUCUGAGAGACAGCAGUGGAUGGAGAUAACGCUUCACAUGGAAGUGACAAAAUUUCUAGGUCCUCACCAAGCUGUGUAGGCAUCUUCAUCCACUCCUCCUGAACAUCUUCAGAUUCUGAAGGUUGGUCAUUUUGUGCUUCAGAACCUACAGCAUAUGUAAUCACUGCUGUUCCUCUAAGGUUCUCCUUGGAUACAAAAUCACAUGGUGGUGCUACAGACAUGUUACUCACAAUCUGUGGUGCUUCUGAUCGCUCACACUGCUGAACCAGAUUUGGUUCUAACUUCGUAACCUCCUCCUUGGUCUCGAUGGUCUCUGAAGUUGUGUCAUCAAGGUGAGGAUCAAGGGGACUUCCCCUGAUCGUCAGUUUGGAAAAAGAACCGCACAGUAUUGUUAGAGGUGACUUUUUAGAACUUUCACACAUCCCCAGCAGCUCUGUUUCCACCUUCUCACCCGCCUCCACGAUCUCGCUUGAACCUGCAGGACGGCCAAGUUCCAGAGAAGCCGAACGCGGUUCAAGCGAAUCGCUUGUUGUGAUGAAACCAUCUACUGAAAAAAACUCACAGGGCGACUCUGGAGGUGUCUGAAAUGAGAGUGGUUCCCUUUCAAGCUUUGAUUCUGAACCACUUCCUGUUUCAUCGGGGUUGGAAUCAGACACCGUUAACCCUGGAGGAAGUGUUGAAAUUCGGUCCAAAACCAGGGGUGGACUCUGUGAUCUUACUGGAUCUCGGUUCGGGUCCACGGUAUCCGUGAUCUGAGCGUCUUUGGCGUCAGACUGUGGUUUGGUGCCCUCCUGAGGCGGUUCCUCGCCUCCACAAUGGGACUCGUUAAAUAUUUGAGAAGUUUCUUCUGAUAUUUCUAGAGAUACGACGGGUUGGACCCCGCUCAUCGAUCCUGGCGAGGAACUUUCCUCUGUCUCAGGAGGUAAAGUCUGAUCAACUCCUCCACUUUCCUCGGUCGUGAGGGGAACGCCGAGCACUAAUCCGUCAGGUUCUCCUAGUGGAUCGGUGACAUCACGAGGUGGCAGCUGUUUUACGGAAUCUGAACUCACCUGUUCUGACAAACCGGACGCUGUUUCUGGAGGAGCGUGGAUUGGGUGGCCGGCAGCCGCAUCGACAAGCGGAGGCGGUUCGAGACGUACGUUGUGGACCGGCCCUGGAGCCAUGUUGGGUCUGAAACUUAGAGAAAGCAAAUCUUCGCUGAUGUCUUGCUCCCGUGUUGUGCAGCUGGUGGACUCGUGUAUCCGUUCGAUGCUGCUUCCUGUUUCCGGGCUCCGGAUCGGGAUCUCCUUCCCUUUUUCCGCGGCGUUAACGUCUAAAUUUAAGUGAAAAUGGGAGAGACUUUUGCUGCUCGUUUGUCCAUCGGGCGACGGUGUGUUCUCGCUCGACAAAGAGGUUUCCUGCCCGGAGUUACGCUCUCCUUCCCUUUCCUCUGGGAAGUCCCCUCUCGCCUUGUUCUUUUCUUCAUGCUCAGGGAGGAGUCCCUGGGUCUGACCCAUCGUCCCAGCCUGCGUGUUGCCAGAUUGGAUUUUACUGUGCGUCUGCGUCUCGGAUAGAGCGUGGCUCCUCUGUGUACGAAGCGCCUCCCUGAUUGCUCUCAGCUCGCUAUCGACUUCCUCCUGCUGCUGCUGCUCUCUACAGGAAACGCCGCUGACAACCGCACAGUCCUCCUGCUUCCCGCCAGACACUCCCUCCCCCUCUAAUCUCGAAGUCCGUUUCCCAGAACCCGAACCUCCGCUGGACGCCGGUGCAUCACCCCCCUCUGACUGGGUGCUGCCAUUCGCGCACUUGGCGCUCUCGCUUUGUUCUUUCUCGGUGUAGACUUCCUGAAGCUCGCACACCGGCGGUUUUUGGAGGGAGGGGUCUUCAGACGGAGCGUCCACGGCCGUUGGCGAAUCGCAGACGAAAUCCCGGCUCAGGAUCAGCGGAAAGGACUGGAGCUGCUUCCGAGAUCCUCCCU